This 595-nucleotide ribosomal RNA is filed under the name cf. Labronemella sp. 802L-009. RNAcentral describes it as "SSU rRNA". It matches the Rfam family "Eukaryotic small subunit ribosomal RNA", at positions 1024 to 1643 of the family's 1831-position model. Lineage: Eukaryota; Metazoa; Nematoda; Enoplea; Dorylaimida; Qudsianematidae. The record is from RNAcentral.
UUCUAACCGUAAACGAUGACAACCAGCGAUUAAUCGGCGUUAAUAUAUGACCCGAUUAGCAGCUUCCGGGAAACCAAAGUUUUUCGUUUCCGGGGGAAGUAUGGUUGCAAAGCUGAAACUUAAAGGAAUUGACGGAAGGGCACCACCAGGAGUGGAGCCUGCGGCUUAAUUUGACUCAACACGGGAAAACUCACCCGGCCCGGACACUGUAAGGAUUGACAGACUGAGAGCUCUUUCUUAAUUCGGUGGGUGGUGGUGCAUGGCCGUUCUUAGUUGGUGGAGCGAUUUGUCUGGUUAAUUCCGAUAACGAACGAGACUCUGGCCUAUUAAAUAGACGAUAUAUUUAAAAGUAUAUCGCGCUUCUUAGAGGGACAAGCGGCGUCUAGCCGCAUGAAAUAGAGCAAUAACAGGUCUGUGAUGCCCUUAGAUGUCCGGGGCUGCACGCGCGCUACACUGAAAGAAUCAGAGUGCGUUGAUACCUAGUUCGGAAGAACCGGGUAACCCAAGUAAAUUCUUUCGUGCUUGGGAUAGGGAAUUGCAAUUAUUUCCCUUAAACGAGGAAUUCCCAGUAAAUGCGGGUCAUAAGCUCGCGUUG